Molecule: ribosomal RNA, 997 nt
Filed under: uncultured bacterium
Lineage: Bacteria
Description: bacterial SSU rRNA
Rfam family: Bacterial small subunit ribosomal RNA
Source: RNAcentral
AAGCUCUGUUGUAAGGGAAGAAUGAAUUGGAUAGAAUCCGAUUGUGACGGUACCUUACCAGAAAGCUACGGCUAACUACGUGCCAGCAGCCGCGGUAAUACGUAGGUAGCGAGCGUUAUCCGGAAUUAUUGGGCGUAAAGGGCGCGUAGGCGGCUUGUUAAGUUUAAGGUGAAAGAAUGGGGCUCAACCCCAUAAAGCGUUAGAUACUGGCAAGCUAGAGUACUGGAGAGGGUAGUGGAAUUCCAUGUGUAGCGGUAAAAUGCGUAGAUAUAUGGAGGAACACCGGUGGCGAAGGCGGCUACCUAGACAGAGACUGACGCUGAGGCACGAAAGCGUGGGGAGCAAAUAGGAUUAGAUACCCUAGUAGUCCACGCCGUAAACGAUGAAUGCUAGAUAUCGGGGCAACUCGGUGUCGAAACUAACGCGAUAAGCAUUCCGCCUGUGGAGUAUGCACGCAAGUGUGAAACAUAAAGGAAUUGACGGGGGCCCGCACAAGCGGUGGAGUAUGUGGUUUAAUUCGACGCAACGCGAAGAACCUUACCAGGCCUUGACAUCCCUUGCAAAACUCUAGAGAUAGAGCAGAGGUUAUCAAGGUGACAGGUGGUGCAUGGUUGUCGUCAGCUCGUGUCGUGAGAUGUUGGGUUAAGUCCCGCAACGAGCGCAACCCUUGUCUUCAGUUACCAUCAUUAAGUUGGGGACUCUGGAGAGACUGCCGGUGAUAAACCGGAGGAAGGUGGGGAUGACGUCAAAUCAUCAUGCCCCUUAUGGCCUGGGCUACACACGUACUACAAUGGCUGUUACAACGUGAAGCAACACUGUGAAGUGAAGCGAAUCACUAAAAGGCAGUCUCAGUUCGGAUUGAAGUCUGCAACUCGACUUCAUGAAGUUGGAAUCGCUAGUAAUCGCGGAUCAGCAUGCCGCGGUGAAUACGUUCUCGGGCCUUGUACACACCGCCCGUCAUACCAUGAGAGCUGGCAAUACCCGAAGCCGGUGGCCU